UACGGGGGGGGCAAGCGAUGUUCGGAAUUACUGGGCGUAAAGGGCGCGUAGGCGGGUGGACAAGUCUCUCGUGAAAGCCCACGGCUCAACCGUGGAAUUGCGGGAGAUACUGUCUGUCUUGAGUCCGGGAGAGGAGGGUGGAAUUCCCAGUGUAGCGGUGAAAUGCGUAGAUAUUGGGAGGAACAACGGUGGCGAAGGCGGCUCUCUGGACCGGUACUGACGCUGAGGCGCGAAAGCUAGGGGAGCAAACAGG
RNAcentral lists this ribosomal RNA (253 nucleotides) under uncultured bacterium. Its description in RNAcentral is "partial 16S ribosomal RNA". It matches the Rfam family "Bacterial small subunit ribosomal RNA", at positions 524 to 776 of the family's 1533-position model. The record is from RNAcentral.